UAGGCCGUGUGGAUGAAUUGGAAGUGGCCGCCCCGGCCUUGAGCCGGGGCCAAAAAUCAAAUGGUCCCGGCUCAAGGCCGGGACGGCACAG
Molecule: transfer RNA, 91 nt
Filed under: Roseibium alexandrii
Lineage: Bacteria; Pseudomonadati; Pseudomonadota; Alphaproteobacteria; Hyphomicrobiales; Stappiaceae
Description: Labrenzia alexandrii tRNA-Gln
Source: RNAcentral